AAAACUGGCAGUCACAGGCCUCACCCUUCUCCCACACAGCCCGCAGUCCUAAAGGCCAGUCUCACUCCCACCUGCCCUGCAACAGCACAGAGUCUAUCUUGAGACAGCCAGUGACCAGGGCUAAGAACUUGCCCCAGACCACCAGCCUCCCCACUGAGAAAGCAAGCAGACUCACAGUUUUCUGGAAUCUCAGGGAGCCUGCAGCAGCGAUCCAGUUCCUUCAAAAGGAACUAGAGUUUCAACGAUUGCCAACUCCUCCUUCCAUGGGUGAUACAUAUCAAGAGGUUAGAGGGCCGCCCUGGUAUGAUAGGCUUUUCCACAAGCAGCUCCCUUUUGAAGAAAAGGGUCUCCAUCUUGUGUGCAGGGAAGUAUUCCUGGCCCUGUGAAAGUGAACUCAUUCAUCACAAGGGAGAUUUCUCCCACUUUUUUUCUAUAGGCUGGAUCCCUGAACGCUAACUGACAUCCUGCUUUUCUUAAGGGAUAUGGAAAUUUCCCUGGGACAGCUGUGCUCUGCUGGCUAAGGAGCCCACAAGGUUAAUGAACACCCACAAAGACUGAGGAGGAGAGAGAGUAUUCUUCACUGGAUGAUUAGCAUGCCGGCAUUCUUUCCUCUGUGGGGUGUCAGCUGUGACCCUCGAAGGAAAGGAAUCACCCUCUUUCUGACCUUAUACCACCUUCAGCAGGGAUGAAGGCAGUGAGAGAAAAGUUAGUUAAAAACUCCUGGAAGGGUUCAUGCAUCAGAAAACUGGAAAAUGAUGGAUGGAAAGGGAAUGGACCAGGCAACCUCCCCAGUUGACCAUGGUGGAGAAAAGAGAACUCAAACAGUUGGCUGCAGCACUCAACACCAAUGAUCAAGAAAAUAAUUGUACUUCUAAACUGCAAACAUGCUUAUAAAAAUUCAAAAUAAGAAAUUGUAAUACGAGCAUUGUGCUUUGUUCUUCAGUGAUUCAGCUGAUCAAAGCUGAUUGGAUUCAGCUGAACCCAAUAACUUACAGUGAAAAUUAUUUCUGUUAUUCGACACACAGCGACCUUUAUGUUCAUGAAACAGGCAUGUUCUCAACAAUGGGAUGUUACCAAAAUCUUAUUACUGGAUAUAGAAAUAAUAAAGAGGUAUGUUAUAAACCAGAUAAGUUUGUUCAUAGGAUAAAAAAAUGCCAUUGAAUGCUAACUAAAUAUAGUACCUGCAGGUAAUUCAGUGCCUAUUAUGGGACAGAUGUUGUGCUAAGCUCUUUCUGUGCAUUAACUAAUACUCCCAGUAGCAUGAUACAGCUGUUGAUUUCAUUUUCCAGACGGGCACAGAGAGUUUGAACAACUUUCCCAAGUUUGCACAACCAGUAUCAGAGCUAGGAUUCUAAUCCAGCUGGUUUGACCCCAGAAUCCGUACUGAGUGUUCUCUAACAUAAUAGAGAACAUGAAAUAUACGUCUUGGAGUACUUAGGGUAGGAGAGGAAACACAUGGCAGUGGCUGGGAAAUCUUAAUCUUAGACACAGAAGUGGCCCCAGUUCUUGGAAGAAAUGUUUGCUGGACCUUCAACCUCCUUUACUUCCAAUAGAGGAGAACCAGUGUCAUGCAUGUAGUGCGUGGAAGUGGAGGAGACGUUUAUUUAUUUUUCUGCCCUGAGCAACUCUGAAUGUUCUAAGUCCCCUUUCUUAUGGCAGGCUUUAUCAGCUCUCAGUCCAGCACUAAGCUGGACUGCUUGAGUCUGAAAUCCUGGUCUACCACUUUCUCCUUAUGUCGCCUUAGUUCCCAUUUGUCUCAAAGGCUUGCGCUGAAGAUUGAGUUGAUGCAUGUAGCCUGCUUAGAACAAUGCUUAGUGCUUGGUCUAUGAAUAUUAAUAUGAUUUAUAAUGCUUUUACAAAGGCCUCUCAGGGAGGUUCAUCUAGUCAACAUGUCUUCUUUUGUGUUUCCAGAAUCAGAAGCAAGAGCCUUGAAGUGAUGGUGGGGCAUGACAGGCACAGUUUUUAAGGUUUCAUUCCUUUCUGAUUACCCUGGUUUAAUCGGUUUUACCUUCAGACCGUACCCUCUUGUCCUUAUAUACUCUCCUGCCAGCUCACUUACAUGUUAAUUCCUAUAAUGGAGAACCCAAGCCUUUCAUCAUACAACUGGAGAAUAUAUUCAAGAGAUAAACUCCUGUGACUGAAAGUUAUCCAAUCAUUCAUGAAUUCUGGUGAGCAAAAACAGGCCACCUUCUUCUCUCAUGAAGGGUGCUCUCUAGUAGCAGGCAGACGAAUGCAUGAUCACACAAAUAAGGGGGAAAUUAUAACUGUGGCAAAUUUAACAACAUGAAAUUAUAGUAGGUGAAGGAAAUAUCAUUCCUGGCUAAAAGAGCAGCCUGUGUUAAAACGGUGGAGAAAACAUGAUAAGAAAUAGAAGAUGGCCAGGUAGGUGAAGUGCAGACAGAAAGAGAAGAAGGGAUAGAGACAGUUUGGAAAAGAUGAGAUGCUAUAGCUGUAGGCAGCAGCUAGGCCAAAAUAUUUCAAUCCUUUUUCAUCCCCUGAGAACAAUGGGAACCACUGAAAGAGUUUGAGCAAAAAUGAGGUAUCAGAUUUUUUCAUUUAGACAUCAUUUUGCCUCUUUUAAUCCAGUGUUCAUCACACCCAUAGUCACCCAUUUAAGUGCACAACUGUAGCAUCUCCAAAUGUCUAAAGUUCUUUUUCAAGUUCCUUUGUGUAUGCAUUCAUUCUUUCACAAGCUAUUAUUAUGAAUAGUUAUUAUUGGCUAUUGAGCUCCUGCACUGUGUAUGAACACUUUGCUAGACUCACAGCACAUGAAUACAAUUAGUUAGCACAUGGUCCAUCAGGGAACACAGGAUAAAAAGGUAAAUUACGAUAGUGUGAUCAUUGGUGGGAGAGAGGGAACUUCAAAACAGAACUGAAAGGAGCCAUUUAAUCUUGCUUUGGAAGAGGGUAAGCCUCGGGUGAAGUAAUA
This is a non-coding RNA of Macaca mulatta (Rhesus monkey), 2929 nucleotides long. The record is from RefSeq and is a predicted model, not a curated record. Lineage: Eukaryota; Metazoa; Chordata; Mammalia; Primates; Cercopithecidae.